This 221-nucleotide long non-coding RNA is filed under the name Ananas comosus (pineapple). Its description in RNAcentral is "long non-coding RNA (ACOM_LNC027587)". The record is from RNAcentral. Lineage: Eukaryota; Viridiplantae; Streptophyta; Magnoliopsida; Poales; Bromeliaceae.
AAACUGUCGUUUCUAGUCUCCUCUUGCUAACUUUAAUUAAUAAAGAUUUGACCGACAGUUUCUAAAGCAAGUGGCAAAGAGCUUGAUACUUGGUAUUCGAGACCCAAGUUUGAAUUCUAAUUGAAUUAUAUUUCCAGCUAAAUUUAUUUCUAAAUGUAAUAAAUGAAACGGAUAACGUGCUACCCCCCCUCUCUCUCUCUCUCUCUCUCUCUCUCUCUCUC